Molecule: long non-coding RNA, 752 nt
Filed under: Homo sapiens (human)
Lineage: Eukaryota; Metazoa; Chordata; Mammalia; Primates; Hominidae
Description: long independently transcribed non-coding RNA 1503 (LINC01503)
Source: RNAcentral
AUUCGAGGCGACGGGCUCCGGGCCCUGAUAGAUGGGGUGCGGGGACGGAGACAAAUGACGGCCUUUGGGCUCGGAAUACCCACCUUUCUGGUAAUGCAGCCCAGCGGGUCCCAGCCUCGUUUUCCAGCCCUCACUCAAAAUGGAGUCGCUCUGGUUCGAACGCCUCUGACAAGUGUGUACCUACGUGUCAGGCCCAUCCUUCCUGCAGGCCUUUGUCUUGGUGUCACCCUGCCUGAGCUGGCCCCAACCACAGUAGCAACAGUGAUGCUGAUGUGUGACUGCUGCCAGGAGCCUGCUCACAUGACCGUGUGGAGAAAGUUCUUUCCCUGAGGACCAUCUGGAGUGGACGCGUGCACUACCCCUCUCUGAAUACACCCUCCCCACGAGGCCCUCUGGAGCAUCCUGUAGAGCCAGCCCCUACCCAGAGACCCUGAGCCCAGAGAAUGCGCUGGGUGGUGAGCCUGGGGACGAAUGCAGAGCCCUAGGUCUCCUCUCCAGAAAGACCGGAUUUUGCCAUGUUGGCCAGGCUGGUCUUGAACUCCUGACCUCAAGUGAUCCACCUGCCUCGGCCUCCCAAAGUGCAGGGAUUACAGGUGUGAGCCACUGCACCCGGCCUCAGGCAGGUAUUUUUACCAGCCGAAUACUCUUGCACUGUGCACUCUUCGUGUUCAUCAUCAGUCCCCCGGAUGGGUGUUUAAGGCAUUUCCAAAGCUCUGUUAUUAAAAACACGAUGCAAUGAGUUUCUUUCAGCA